Molecule: ribosomal RNA, 2681 nt
Filed under: Vibrio cholerae HE-40
Lineage: Bacteria; Pseudomonadati; Pseudomonadota; Gammaproteobacteria; Vibrionales; Vibrionaceae
Description: bacterial LSU rRNA
Rfam family: Bacterial large subunit ribosomal RNA
Source: RNAcentral
CCCGAGGAGAAGAAAUCAACCGAGAUUCCGGUAGUAGCGGCGAGCGAACCUGGAUUAGCCCUUAAGCACUCGGUGAAGUAGGUGAACAAGCUGGAAAGCUUGGCGAUACAGGGUGAUAGCCCCGUAACCGACGCUUCAUCGAGCGUGAAAUCGAGUAGGGCGGGACACGUGAUAUCCUGUCUGAAUAUGGGGGGACCAUCCUCCAAGGCUAAAUACUCCUGACUGACCGAUAGUGAACCAGUACCGUGAGGGAAAGGCGAAAAGAACCCCUGUGAGGGGAGUGAAAUAGAACCUGAAACCGUGUACGUACAAGCAGUAGGAGCACCUUCGUGGUGUGACUGCGUACCUUUUGUAUAAUGGGUCAGCGACUUAUAUUCAGUGGCAAGGUUAACCGUAUAGGGGAGCCGUAGCGAAAGCGAGUCUUAACUGGGCGCUCAGUCUCUGGAUAUAGACCCGAAACCGGGUGAUCUAGCCAUGGGCAGGUUGAAGGUUGAGUAACAUCAACUGGAGGACCGAACCGACUAAUGUUGAAAAAUUAGCGGAUGACUUGUGGCUAGGGGUGAAAGGCCAAUCAAACUCGGAGAUAGCUGGUUCUCCCCGAAAGCUAUUUAGGUAGCGCCUCGGACGAAUACUACUGGGGGUAGAGCACUGUUAAGGCUAGGGGGUCAUCCCGACUUACCAACCCUUUGCAAACUCCGAAUACCAGUAAGUACUAUCCGGGAGACACACGGCGGGUGCUAACGUCCGUCGUGGAGAGGGAAACAACCCAGACCGCCAGCUAAGGUCCCAAAGUAUUGCUAAGUGGGAAACGAUGUGGGAAGGCUCAGACAGCUAGGAUGUUGGCUUAGAAGCAGCCAUCAUUUAAAGAAAGCGUAAUAGCUCACUAGUCGAGUCGGCCUGCGCGGAAGAUGUAACGGGGCUAAGCAAUACACCGAAGCUGCGGCAAUGUCUUUUAGAUAUUGGGUAGGGGAGCGUUCUGUAAGCCGUUGAAGGUGAAUCGUAAGGUUUGCUGGAGGUAUCAGAAGUGCGAAUGCUGACAUGAGUAACGACAAAGGGGGUGAAAAACCUCCUCGCCGGAAGACCAAGGGUUCCUGUCCAACGUUAAUCGGGGCAGGGUGAGUCGACCCCUAAGGUGAGGCCGAAAGGCGUAAUCGAUGGGAAACGGGUUAAUAUUCCCGUACUUCUGACUAUUGCGAUGGGGGGACGGAGAAGGCUAGGUGGGCCAGGCGACGGUUGUCCUGGUUCAAGUGCGUAGGCUUGAGAGUUAGGUAAAUCCGGCUCUCUCUAAGGCUGAGACACGACGUCGAGCUGCUACGGCAGUGAAGUCAUUGAUGCCAUGCUUCCAGGAAAAGCCUCUAAGCUUCAGAUAGUCAGGAAUCGUACCCCAAACCGACACAGGUGGUCGGGUAGAGAAUACCAAGGCGCUUGAGAGAACUCGGGUGAAGGAACUAGGCAAAAUGGUACCGUAACUUCGGGAGAAGGUACGCUCUUGAUGGUGAAGUCCCUCGCGGAUGGAGCUGACGAGAGUCGCAGAUACCAGGUGGCUGCAACUGUUUAUUAAAAACACAGCACUGUGCAAAAUCGCAAGAUGACGUAUACGGUGUGACGCCUGCCCGGUGCCGGAAGGUUAAUUGAUGGGGUUAGCGUAAGCGAAGCUCUUGAUCGAAGCCCCGGUAAACGGCGGCCGUAACUAUAACGGUCCUAAGGUAGCGAAAUUCCUUGUCGGGUAAGUUCCGACCUGCACGAAUGGCGUAAUGAUGGCCACGCUGUCUCCACCCGAGACUCAGUGAAAUUGAAAUCGCUGUGAAGAUGCAGUGUACCCGCGGCUAGACGGAAAGACCCCGUGAACCUUUACUACAGCUUGGCACUGAACAUUGAACCUACAUGUGUAGGAUAGGUGGGAGGCUUUGAAGACGUGACGCCAGUUGCGUUGGAGCCGUCCUUGAAAUACCACCCUUGUAUGUUUGAUGUUCUAACUUAGACCCGUUAUCCGGGUUGAGGACAGUGCCUGGUGGGUAGUUUGACUGGGGCGGUCUCCUCCCAAAGAGUAACGGAGGAGCACGAAGGUGGGCUAAUCACGGUUGGACAUCGUGAGGUUAGUGCAAUGGCAUAAGCCCGCUUAACUGCGAGAAUGACGGUUCGAGCAGGUGCGAAAGCAGGUCAUAGUGAUCCGGUGGUUCUGUAUGGAAGGGCCAUCGCUCAACGGAUAAAAGGUACUCCGGGGAUAACAGGCUGAUACCGCCCAAGAGUUCAUAUCGACGGCGGUGUUUGGCACCUCGAUGUCGGCUCAUCACAUCCUGGGGCUGAAGUCGGUCCCAAGGGUAUGGCUGUUCGCCAUUUAAAGUGGUACGCGAGCUGGGUUUAGAACGUCGUGAGACAGUUCGGUCCCUAUCUGCCGUGGGCGUUGGAAGAUUGAAGGGGGCUGCUCCUAGUACGAGAGGACCGGAGUGGACGAACCUCUGGUGUUCGGGUUGUGUCGCCAGACGCAUUGCCCGGUAGCUAAGUUCGGAAUUGAUAAGCGCUGAAAGCAUCUAAGCGCGAAGCGAGCCCUGAGAUGAGUCUUCCCUGACAGUUUAACUGUCCUAAAGGGUUGUUCGAGACUAGAACGUUGAUAGGCAGGGUGUGUAAGCGUUGUGAGGCGUUGAGCUAACCUGUACUAAUUGCCCGUGAGGCUUAACCAU